Molecule: ribosomal RNA, 255 nt
Filed under: uncultured bacterium
Lineage: Bacteria
Description: partial 16S ribosomal RNA
Rfam family: Bacterial small subunit ribosomal RNA
Source: RNAcentral
GACGAACCGUGCGAACGUUAUUCGGAAUCAUUGGGCUUAAAGGGCGCGUAGGCGGGACGGCGCGUCGGCAGCUGAAAUCCCCCGGCUCAACCGGGGAACAGGCGCCGAUACGGCCGGUCCUGGAGGCGAGGAGGGGGACCCGGAACGUCCGGUGGAGCGGUGAAAUGCGUUGAGAUCGGACGGAACACCGACGGCGAAAGCAGGGUCCUGGACUCGUACUGACGCUGAGGCGCGAAAGCCAGGGGAGCGAACGGG